GAUGAACGCUGGCGGCGUGCCUAGUACAUGCAAGUCGAGCGAACAGAUGAGGUGCUUGCUCCUCUGACGUUAGCGGCGGACGGGUGAGUAACACGUGGAUAACCUACCUAUAAGACUGGGAUAACUUCGGGAAACCGGAGCUAAUACCGGAUAAUAUAUUGAACCGCAUGGUUCAAUAGUGAAAGACGGUUUUGCUGUCACUUAUAGAUGGAUCCGCGCCGCAUUAGCUAGUUGGUAAGGUAACGGCUUACCAAGGCAACGAUGCGUAGCCGACCUGAGAGGGUGAUCGGCCACACUGGAACUGAGACACGGUCCAGACUCCUACGGGAGGCAGCAGUAGGGAAUCUUCCGCAAUGGGCGAAAGCCUGACGGAGCAACGCCGCGUGAGUGAUGAAGGUCUUCGGAUCGUAAAACUCUGUUAUUAGGGAAGAACAAAUGUGUAAGUAACUAUGCACGUCUUGACGGUACCUAAUCAGAAAGCCACGGCUAACUACGUG
This 497-nucleotide ribosomal RNA is filed under the name uncultured bacterium. RNAcentral describes it as "partial 16S ribosomal RNA". It matches the Rfam family "Bacterial small subunit ribosomal RNA", at positions 28 to 507 of the family's 1533-position model. The record is from RNAcentral.